AUUUUGAUUGUUAUUAAUAAACCGAUAGGGAUCCACGCCAAAUCCUCCACCAUUACAAGAUGAUUUUUUAUUUUUAUAAAAAAAAUCUCACAUCUAUUUUUAAUUUUACUUCUUAACUUUUUUAUAAUUUAUAAAAAAAUAUAUAUUUAAAAUUAAAAAAAGGGCUGGGCCCAUGUUGGACCCAUGCCGAAUUAUGCCGUGCCAGC
This 206-nucleotide long non-coding RNA is filed under the name Elaeis guineensis (African oil palm). RNAcentral's name for it is "long non-coding RNA (EGUI_LNC005371)". Lineage: Eukaryota; Viridiplantae; Streptophyta; Magnoliopsida; Arecales; Arecaceae. The record is from RNAcentral.